UCUCAUUCAUUAAAAUUGCCGAAGCACCUCCCUCUCCUCCCGUUACAGAAAACGGACCAGAACAUUAGACGACAUCCACUCCACCCAAAUAUCCGUACAUAUACGUGCAAUACGCUUCUACGUAUCCAAUCCUUUCUUAAAGUUUUGGUCGGUUGAAAAAUGGAGCCGGCGCCUAAUGGCGAAGAACCCACUUCCUGGGAUGAGCUAUACAACAUAAACUUGAUGCCAUCAGAGUUGUUCCUCAAGUUUAGAAAAGAAAUUCAGGGAUUUCGAGUUGGUGUCAAUUUGGAGUUCUACAAUGCUCCAAUCAAUGAUUUCCAAACAAAGCUUGUGCUGAAGCCUUUAUCUCCUGAACGGAGGUGGAAGUUUGCAUAUGAGCCUAUACAUCAAGAUGUACGCCUCCUUUCAAAAAAGAUCCCUGUGACGAAAUUUCUAAAUCUCCAGGUUGGCAUAGGCCAUAAUUUCAAGCUAAAUGCAACUGGUUGGAAAUGGAAGCUCACCACCUGUUUGGGUGGAGAUGGAGUUUCUCGGAUUCGGAAUAAGACAACACUUGGCUUGGUUCCUGGCCUGGAUUUUCGAUUUGGGUGGAGAGCUGAUUAUGUUCUUCCAGAAAUUACAGGACAUGUUUUCACAAUUAUGUGUAGCUUAUCAUUGAUACCUUGAAUAUAACAGAGCUCUUGGUACUGAUGAACCAUUGUUCAACAUGAACUCUGGGCGGUUGCAAGCUUCACUAGAUAGAGUUGAGGCCAUUCUGACUCAUUCGUCAUGAUUGGUUGUCAAAAUAUCAGUUUAUCUUGGCUGCUGCAGAUUGGUUGAGUUCUUGGUUUUCCUUCUCUGUUUCCCCACUUCAAUACAGAAACAGCUAGAUAAGAGCAUAAGAAAUUUGCUUUCGCGGUUUCCCUUAAAGCACGAAUUGUUUGGUGCUGCAUUUAUGAAUCUGGGUACAUCUUUGAUGGUACCGCUCUGAAGGAGAGAUUUGAAAGAGGCUUUCCCAAUCCCAAUUAUUUGUAUCUCAGUAUAUCUUGGCUACGCUGAUUUGUCUGGUUACCUAGUUAAGAUCAAAUUGAAGCAAGCUUAAAAUUUUUCUUGUAAAAAACUGGAAAGGGCAAUAAUCAUAUUAACUAAAGUUGUGGGUUUUA
Theobroma cacao (cacao) is the source of this 1139-nucleotide non-coding RNA. Lineage: Eukaryota; Viridiplantae; Streptophyta; Magnoliopsida; Malvales; Malvaceae. The record is from RefSeq and is a predicted model, not a curated record.